AGUGAACGCUGGCGGCAGGCCUAAUACAUGCAAGUCGAACGGCAGCACAGCAGAGCUUGCUCUGUGGGUGGCGAGUGGCGGACGGGUGAGGAAUACGUGGGAAUCUGCCCAGUCGUGGGGGAUAACGUAGGGAAACUUACGCUAAUACCGCAUGCGCCCUUCGGGGGAAAGCCGGGGACCUUCGGGCCUGGCGCGAUUGGAUGAGCCCACGUCGGAUUAGCUAGUUGGCGGGGUAAAGGCCCACCAAGGCGACGAUCCGUAGCUGGUCUGAGAGGAUGAUCAGCCACACUGGAACUGAGACACGGUCCAGACUCCUACGGGAGGCAGCAGUAGGGAAUAUUGGACAAUGGGCGCAAGCCUGAUCCAGCCAUGCCGCGUGAGUGAAGAAGGCCCUCGGGUUGUAAAGCUCUUUUGUCCGGAAAAGAAAAGCGCCGGGUUAAUACCCUGGUGUCCUGACGGUACCGGAAGAAUAAGCACCGGCUAACUUCGUGCCAGCAGCCG
Molecule: ribosomal RNA, 501 nt
Filed under: uncultured bacterium
Lineage: Bacteria
Description: bacterial SSU rRNA
Rfam family: Bacterial small subunit ribosomal RNA
Source: RNAcentral